UACGUAGGGGGCAAGCGUUAUCCGGAUUUACUGGGUGUAAAGGGAGCGUAGACGGUGAGGCAAGUCUGAUGUGAAAGGUGGGGGCUCAACCCUCAAACUGCAUUGGAAACUGUUUUACUAGAGUGUCGGAGAGGUAAGUGGAAUUCCUAGUGUAGCGGUGAAAUGCGUAGAUAUUAGGAGGAACACCAGUGGCGAAGGCGGUCUACUGGACGAUAACUGACGCUGAGGCGCGAAAGCGUGGGGAGCAAAC
RNAcentral lists this ribosomal RNA (250 nucleotides) under uncultured prokaryote. Its description in RNAcentral is "partial 16S ribosomal RNA". It matches the Rfam family "Bacterial small subunit ribosomal RNA", at positions 524 to 773 of the family's 1533-position model. The record is from RNAcentral.